GUCCGGAUGGCGCAGUGGUCAGCGCAUCUGCCUCAUAAGCAAAAGACAUGGGUUUGAAUCCCAAUCCAGCACA
This is a non-coding RNA of Schistocerca serialis cubense, 73 nucleotides long. NCBI's taxonomy places the organism in Eukaryota, Metazoa, Arthropoda, Insecta, Orthoptera, Acrididae. The record is from the annotation of a RefSeq genome assembly.